GCCGAAGUGGUGGAACUGGUAGACACGCCAUCUUGAGGGGGUGGUGGGCAACCGCCCGUGCGAGUUCGAGUCUCGCCUUCGGCACCA
RNAcentral lists this transfer RNA (87 nucleotides) under bacterium. RNAcentral describes it as "tRNA-Leu". It matches the Rfam family "tRNA". From Rfam's summary of the family: Transfer RNA (tRNA) molecules are approximately 80 nucleotides in length. Their secondary structure includes four short double-helical elements and three loops (D, anti-codon, and T loops). The record is from RNAcentral.